AUUAUUUGACCUUCAAUUUUCGACAAACCCAACAGAGCACUAAGUCAUGGCUUUGACGGUGGGUCCUUUCGUGGAAAAUGGAAGAACUUACAGAAUGUUGUCAUCUCCAGCAGUCUGCGGUUUGGCUUUGGUGGUACACACUGUAUACGCACUGCUUCUUUCGCAUAUUUGGACAGUUCUGGUCAGUUUCUUUACUGCUGUUGCUUUGAUGAGUGCCCUUUACAUCAAGAGAAGGAAGUCUCCAGUUAAUCUUUUGGUUUUUUCGGGAUUUAACAUUCGUUAGUUUUUCCAUAUUCAUCGUAGGAGGAUUGUUCCAAACCUUUUCUCGUUCAACAAAGUGGGAUCUUCCAAUAUCAUCAGGAGGAGCUUUAGUGUUUGGUGUCUUGGGCAUAGCAGACACCCAACGGUCUCUGCAAGCAUCGACUUCGGAGGAGUACGUCAUGUCCACGAUAAAUCUUUAUUUUGACGUAAUCAAUUUAUUAGUGUAUAUUUUACGGAUAUUAUAUGUAACGGUUUGAAUAAAUCACCUAUUUGAAACCUC
Long non-coding RNA from Leptinotarsa decemlineata (Colorado potato beetle), 541 nucleotides. The record is from RefSeq and is a predicted model, not a curated record. Lineage: Eukaryota; Metazoa; Arthropoda; Insecta; Coleoptera; Chrysomelidae.